CGGUACAUCGGUGACAGGUGGUGCAUGGUUGUCGUCAGCUCGUGUCGUGAGAUGUUGGGUUAAGUCCCGCAACGAGCGCAACCCCUAUUGUUAGUUGCCAUCAUUCAGUUGGGCACUCUAGCGAGACUGCCGGUAAUAAACCGGAGGAAGGUGGGAUGACGUCAAAUCAUCAUGCCCCUUAUGACCUGGGCUACACACGUGCUACAAUGGUUGGUACAACGAGUUGCGAGUCGGUGACGGCGAGCUAAUCUCUUAAAGCCAAUCUCAGUUCGGAUUGUAGGCUGCAACUCGCCUACAUGAAGUCGGAAUCGCUAGUAAUCGCGGAUCAGCACGCCGCGGUCGAAUACGUUCCGGCCUU
Molecule: ribosomal RNA, 358 nt
Filed under: uncultured Streptococcus sp.
Lineage: Bacteria; Bacillati; Bacillota; Bacilli; Lactobacillales; Streptococcaceae
Description: bacterial SSU rRNA
Rfam family: Bacterial small subunit ribosomal RNA
Source: RNAcentral